CGCCUGUUUAUCAAAAACAUGUCUUUAAGAGUUUAUUUAAAGUCUGGCCUGCUCAAUGAAUUUUUAAAUAGCCGCGGUAUUUUAACUGUGCUAAGGUAGCAUAAUAAUUAGUCUUUUAAUUGAGGUCUGGGAUGAAUGGUUGAACGAGAAAUUUUCUUUAUUAAUUUAAUUCAAUUGAAUUUUAUUUUUUUGUUAAAAAGCUUAAAUUUAAAAGAGGGACGAUAAGACCCUAUAGAUCUUUAUAAUAAAAUUUUUUUUUUUUUUUUUUGUAGUUUUUUUAAAAAUUAAUUUAAUUAUUUUGUUGGGGUGAUAGCUAAAAUAUUAAACUUUAGUUUAUUUUUACAAUUUUUUUUGGUUUUUUUGAUCCUUUUUAUUGAUAUAAAGAAGAAGAUACCUUAGGGAUAACAGCGUUAUAUAGUUGGAGAGUUCAAAUUGAUAAUUAUGUUUGCGACCUCGAUGUUGGAUUAAAGUUUUACUGUGGGGUAGGUUUUACAGUUUUAGGUCUGUUCGACUUUAAAAUUUUACAUGAUCUGAGUUCAGACCGG
This 545-nucleotide ribosomal RNA is filed under the name Hemisphaerius formosus. Its description in RNAcentral is "partial 16S ribosomal RNA". It matches the Rfam family "Bacterial large subunit ribosomal RNA", at positions 1797 to 2619 of the family's 2925-position model. The record is from RNAcentral. Lineage: Eukaryota; Metazoa; Arthropoda; Insecta; Hemiptera; Issidae.